GUUUGGUUCCUACAAUGGUGUUCUUUUCUGAAAAAGUGGUCGUGUUACGGCCUGUCACACCCCAAUAGUCCCAUAUCGGGUAGUUAUGGCUAGACGUUGGAGUAUAUAAGUUUGAUUGGGCUAGAUAUAAUAACUGGGUUUAAGUAUUUUGGGCCGAUGUUGGGCCCAACGAGUUAUUAUUGCUAGUGGGCUGGGUCGUUACAUUUGGUAUCAGAGCCAAUCACCAGCGGAAAAAUGUGUGGCGAGUCUCGACUGAAUCAGGGUCUGAAAGACAAGGUGAUAGGCAAUGCCGGAGUCUGUAUUACAAGGUGACCGGCUAUGCGAGGAUCUGGAUGACAAGGCUAACGAGACGAGUCUCACACCGCCUGGUGAUCUUGCGCUGUGUGUGUGAUGGGACUGACGAGCUUAAGCAUUUUGGGCCGGUGGUUGGGCCCAACGAGUUAUUGUUGCUAGUGGGCUGGGUCGUUACACGGCCCAUGAGCCCUAUGCGGCAACUUUGUAGUUGGGGUUAUAUGCUCGAUGAUUGAUAAUAGCUGAGGAAUUGUUUGAGGUCGUAAAAUAAAUAUGAUAGUAUUCGGGUUGGGUUUUGAUAUUGGACUGUACGUUCGGUUGAUACAUAUAUAUAUUAAUUUGAUUAUUUUUAUUAUAGUAGCAAUACUAUUUCAAUUAUCUGGUCACAUCCUUUCUUUCCUACUUUACUUUUCACUACUGUAUCAGCUAUGCAUGUUUAUACCUUUCAUAUUUAUCUUAUCGUUCUCUUUUGUUGACCAGUGAAUAUAGCUUAUACCUUCGAUGACUUACGGUAUCUACUAGAAAACAUGUGUACAUAUUUCUCACCCCCUAUUUUAUAUAGGUGACACUGGUGGUGAGGUUCAAGACAAUGUGUG
This 887-nucleotide long non-coding RNA is filed under the name Ananas comosus (pineapple). RNAcentral describes it as "long non-coding RNA (ACOM_LNC008847)". The record is from RNAcentral. Lineage: Eukaryota; Viridiplantae; Streptophyta; Magnoliopsida; Poales; Bromeliaceae.